RNAcentral lists this long non-coding RNA (4360 nucleotides) under Heterocephalus glaber (naked mole-rat). RNAcentral's name for it is "lncRNA (ENSHGLG00000036370.1)". The record is from RNAcentral. Lineage: Eukaryota; Metazoa; Chordata; Mammalia; Rodentia; Bathyergidae.
GGCAUAUUGUGUCUGGCGUUGGCCUUCCCCUUUCCCCAAGAAAACUGCCUGGCCUUGAGACAGAUUUUUGCCCAAACUGCUUUUUUCUUUAGAAAGAUUGUAAAAAUGAUAAACUAUAUAUUGGUACAAAAGCCAAACAGAAAUGUCCUAAAUGUAAAAUAGGAUAUCACUGGGCCAGUCCAUGGUGCUCCAAAUUUGGUAAUGAAUGAGGGAAACCCUAUUUCAAAAAAUGGGAAAGGGAUACAACUCCUUGCAAGUAAAAAUAGGGAGGCAAUCAUAAGAUGUUAACAUUCUAGAGUGGGAGUCACACCAGAAUCACAAGAGCCCAUUGUUACCAAUUUUAGCUAAUUGAUAAAUUUACUUUUGGCUUUCAAUUUGAGUUGUUAUGUUUGUUUAAUAUGCUUAAAAUGGUCUUGUGCACAAAUUCUUAGACUACGAUUACAAGGUUAAUACGAUCUUCUGCUUCAGUAGAGGGCAUCACAGUGAUUGCCAAUCGUGUACAGUGGUACAUGAACAACCAGAUUUGGAAGUUGGGAGGAGGUCGAAAGUGAGUGAUCAGGACUGGCAGGAACUGUGGGUGGAUGAUGCCAUCUGGAAGUUGCUGUUCUCCAUGAUAUUCUUUGUCAUCAUGAUUCUCUGGCAACCAUCGACAAAUAACCAAAGGAGAAAAAGGAUAGCAGUUCUCUGGGUCUCAGGACUAAGCUGCUCCCACAGGUCCUAGCCAAGACAAGACACGGAGACUGGUGACUGACUCCUAUCUGCCAGCUAGCUGAUCAACCACCACUGAAGGGCAGACAAGUGACUGAAAGGCAAGUUGUAGACUUGGCCUCAGAGACCAACAGUUCAAACCGUGAGGUGAUCAAAAUGAUAAAGUAAACAGCACCCAGGAUGCAGCUGUCCACGGAGCCCGCAUCUCUGCAUUCUGGCCACUUAAGUUAAGCAGUGUCUAAAGGGGCACAGCCUCCCAGCCUGUCACAGGAAUGGUCAACUCCAGGCCCAAGGCUCUCUGACCAUUCUCCUUGGCUUUGACUUUCAAGUGAAAGGGCAGGGUUCUAGCAAAUCCUCCAAGCCAAGCCAGUCCAAGGAAGGUGUACCAUGGCAGAGGCUCUGGACAUACACAGGGAACCCUAUGUACAGAACCCCUCUCAGGGGCUCUUCAGGGCUCUGAAGCUGAACCCUCAUCUGAACCACCUAAGCAGCCAAGUGAAUUACAAGGAGGCAAAGUAGCUCAAUGGAAGUGUGAACAGGUGGAUGGCCAGGGACUAAGACCCAGGAGACAGUAAGUUUCCUCAGCAGAGCUCUUCCAAACAUGAGCUUCAAGGUUUCUUUCCUUUUCAAAAAGUCACAACCAAAAUCCUGCUGUCCUGAACUCGUUUUCUAGGAAUGAGCAACAGGGAAGAACCAAAAUAAACUUGGGAUAAUGAUGAGUGUAUUUUUAGGCUAAGUGUGUGGUUUGCUAAUUGAGAAGGUACCAAAAAGAUCUCCAGACAGAGAAGUGGGAGCACUUGCUAUUCCUUCAGGCAAAAGCGGAGCUACUGAACAGAAAGAGUGGUGAGGCAGCCACUGCAUCUUUCCCAUUUUUUAAAGGGAAGUAUGUGUGACAUGUUGCCUUCUCCAUCCCAGCCUCUCAGAGAACCAGCUGCCUUCCAUAUUUUAUGAGGAAAAUUGUAAACCCACCAGUACCCGGGCUGAGUUCCCACUGCUGCUAGUUCUGAGGACGUAUGAGACAGGGUCUUGCUUGUAGGAUGACAAAGUUACAGUUUGGAUUUUGUGAAGCAUAGUUAAAAGUCAGAGCUGCCCCUAAAGACACAAAAUAAACUUAUUUCCCUUCCUAAAAAAAUGUACAAAAAGAGAAAAUGGUGUUUUAUUUGAAAUGUGCAAUACAUAUUAUGAAUCGAAUGCUUUGUUGAUAUUUUAUGUUCCUGUUUACUACAAAUUGUAUAAUAAGAACCUCCUGACAAAACAGCAAGAUAGCAAGAUGUCUACUAUGUCCUACAAAAAAGAUAGGAAAGCAAAACACAUGUGCUAUCAGUGUAAAUGAUACAUGCAUGCUGUUUUCAUGUGUGAAGACUGCUUUAGGUAUGAUAAUUGAAGUAAAGAUUAUUUUUGUUGUAAAGUUCUAUUGGUAUUUUCAUUAUAAUGAUGGAGCAAUAAUACACAAUAAGAUUGGCCCUUGCCUUUCCCUUGCCUUGCCUCCAUUUUUUUUUUUUUUUCCACAAAAUGUUUUGUCUCAGAAAUGUGACAGUUUGUGCUGCUGGGCAGCAGCUCCUGCCCAAUGUAUCAAAAUGUUUUGUGACUGAAUUAUGUGACCUUUCAGGAAUGUUCUGUUAAAUUCUGCCCCUCUGCUUCAGGAAUGUUCUGUAACUCUGCCCUCCUUGCUUCAGUGUGCAUGCUCACCUAUCCUGUAGAUCCCUAUUUAAGGAGGCUCUCAUUUCUGGUAGAGCGCUCACACUUCAAGUAUGAACUCCUCUGAGCCUGCCAGUGUAAUAAACGUUUUCUCCACCCUCUUCGAGUGACCAUCAGAUUCUAGAGUCUUCAAAUUGAGAGAGCUGGGGUCCAGAUCUGCACACACUGAGCUGUAAAGCUCAGCUGUGCUCGGAGCUGUGGCACUUGGCUGCAACCCUGAGCUGUAGGGCGGGGAUUUAGCGCAGUGGUUUUGCUGCCUGCUGCACAAGGACCACAGUUCAAUCUCCAGUACCAAAAAACCCCAAAAACAAAAACAAAAAUACCCCAUUGAGCUGUAACACUCAGCUGUGCCUCUGAGCUGUGGUACUUCUGGCUGCGACACUGAGCUAUAACACUUGGCUAUGGCACUGAGCUUCUCUGCCGCAACAGUAGUUCAUAUAGAUAUUUGUUAUUUUUUAGACUUUAAGAAGUUGAUGUUGAAAAUGAUGCUUAUUUAUAAACACUAUUAAAAAUUCAGUAUUUAAAAAUUUUUACACAAUAUAAAACUCAAAAUUAAAAUUAAUUCAUCAGUAUAAAUACUUCUAAAAGAUAAAUGUGGGUGUUAUACACCCCAUGAUGCUCCUUUAAUCUAAAAUUGACAUGAUCCCCCAAUAAGGGUACUUUUUCAAGGCUGUUUACAGAUUUGUUGGCAGCCAGUCAGAUUUAAAAAUGUAACAAUCUGAGACCAAAGGAAAAAAGAAAAAGAAGGACACUUUAAAAUCCAAGUGGCUGCAGCGAAGUUUGUUUUAGCCUGUGGCAAGUACAGUGUUACCUCAGUUCAUGAAUGCUUUUGUUUGCAAGCAGUUUGGUUUGGCAAAAUUUUUCUUUUGUUUGUGAACACUGUGUCAGGUGAUAAACAUGACUGCAGUCAUCUUUCCUACAUGAACAUGAAUAUGGCUGUCUUUUCCAGAAUCAUGGGGGACAAAUUAAGUUUGUGAACCAAGGGACCACUGUAGGACAGAGAAAAUAUAGAAGAAGCUUUAAGUAUAGAGAUACAUUUUUGAUGUGAGGAUUUUGUAUGAUAAAGUUAAGAAAGAGGGAAAUAAUGACAGACCUGGAAGACUUAAGCAUGUCAAAAAGUUUGUGGAAGAUACAGUUUAUAGAAAGAAAUACGUAUGUUUAUUUUAUGCUUUGCUCUUGUUAGUUUGAUUAAGCCCAAACUAUUUCUUUUAAUAAAUCCUUGUUGCUCAAAGAAGAUUAGGGGGCUAUAAUCCUGACUCUCAUCAGUCACUUCUCAUUUCUCAGCUCUCCUCUCUGGUUUAACUGGUGCUUUCAGGCAAAGGGUAUAAUUCUCCUUUCUGAGAUUAAUAUUAGCUGGGCCUGGGGGCCAGGUAUUUAGCUCAGUGGCACUGCUCCUGGCUCAAAAGCACAAGGUCCUGAGUUCGAUCCUCAGUACAAAAAAAAAAGGCUGGGCCUCGUAGUGCAUGCUUUAAUUCCAGCACUUAGAAGAUGAGGCAGGAGGAUUGCCACGAGUUUAGAGGCCAGCCUGGGCUACAUAGUGAGUUCAAGGCCAACCUGAACUACACGGUGAAACCCUGUCUAAAAAAAAAAAAAAAAAAAUAUAUAUAUAUAUAUAUAUAUAUAUAUAUAUGUAUCUCAUGAGCGUUUCUGCAUGACUAGCAGAGACAUCUAUCUAAACUGGUCAGUGACAAAAAACAAGUCAAAACUGCCUCCUUGAGCAAUUUCAACCUGGUUUGUGACACUCAUUGCUGACUUCAUGAUAUAUUAAAUAUAUUUAUAAUUCCUAAGUGUAUGGGUCUUCAACAAUGCAAAAUUUUAAAAAAAAUAUCAUACUAAUGACUUCUAGCCUAAAAGUAUUUAUGAUAAUAAAAUUUUAAACUCAAAUCUCUGGCUUCUCCUUUUCUUGUUUUCUGUUUAUGAUAAAAUAUACAUUGCCAAUCUAACAGGCAGCUAG